UACGGAAGGCAGCAGUGGGGAAUAUUGCACAAUGGGCGAAAGCCUGAUGCAGCUAUGCCGCGUGUAUAAAGAAGGCCUUAGGGUUGUAAAGUACUUUCAUCGGGGAGGAAAAAACAAAACUAAUAAUUUUAUUUCUUGACGUUACCCGAAAAAGAAGCACCGGCUAACUCCGUGCCAGCAGCCGCGGUAAUACGGAGGGUGCUAGCGUUAAUCAGAAUUACUGGGCGUAAAGAGCACGUAGGUGGUUUUUUUAAGUCAGAUGUGAAAUCCCUGGGCUUAACCUAGGAACUGCAUUUUGAAACUGAAAUACUAGAGUAUCGUAGAGGGAGGUAGAAUUCUAGGUGUAGCGGUGAAAUGCGUAGAUAUCUGGAGGAAUACCUGUGGCGAAAGCGGCCUCCUAAACGAAUACUGACACUGAGGGUGCGAAAGCGUGGGGAGCAAACAGGGAUUAGAUACC
This 457-nucleotide ribosomal RNA is filed under the name uncultured bacterium. Its description in RNAcentral is "bacterial SSU rRNA". It matches the Rfam family "Bacterial small subunit ribosomal RNA", at positions 340 to 786 of the family's 1533-position model. The record is from RNAcentral.